Paramuricea clavata is the source of this 473-nucleotide non-coding RNA. Lineage: Eukaryota; Metazoa; Cnidaria; Anthozoa; Malacalcyonacea; Plexauridae. The record is from the annotation of a GenBank genome assembly.
CCUAUUUCGAGUUUUGAAUGCUAAAAAAUGCAGAAAUGACCAAAUUAAUGCUAAUUAGUACCCACUUUAACCAUCUUUAAUUCAAAAUCGGCUUGAAAAUCGCACUAGUCGCUUAAUUGUCUUAUAUAUAGUUUUUUGCGAUCUUUCUAGUGGUAUAGUUUAUUUUUUGUAUAAGAGAACAUGAAAUUUUUCUCAAAUUUUUGGCUAUAAAGCAAAAAUCAGAAGUGGUAACACACACAAUCUUAUUCACCAAGGCCUGAACUAUAAGAAAAUGCCUAUUACCAGCUUCUAACAUAUAGUUGCCAUCAAACUCUCUUUAGAGGCACUUUUUGCCAUCUUGGCCGGCCGACUAACUUACUUCCAAUCAUUUUCAAAAGUCGUUGGGACACUUGCGGAGUUCAGUAGAUCACCAGGGGUCGGUUGUUUAAACGUCUAUUAGCUUUAUAACCCUAGGUCAAGCUAAAGUACCAAGC